UAACUACGUGCCAGCAGCCGCGGUAAUACGAGGGGUGCAAGCGUUAAUCGGAAUUACUGGGCGUAAAGCGUUCGUAGGCGGUCUAUUAAGCAAGAUGUGAAAGCCCAGGGCUCAACCUUGGAACUGCAUUUUGAACUGGUAGACUAGAGUACUGUAGAGGGUGGUGGAAUUUCCAAUGUAGCGGUGAAAUGCGUAGAGGUUGGAAGGAACAUCAGUGGCGAAGGCGGCCACCUGGACAGAUACUGACGCUGAGGAACGAAAGCGUGGGGAGCGAACAGGAUUAGAUACCCUGGUAGUCCACGCCGUAAACGAUGUCAACUAGCCGUUUGUGUCCUUGAGACGUGAGUGGCGCAGCUAACGCACUAAGUUGACCGCCUGGGGAGUACGUCCGCAAGGUUAA
RNAcentral lists this ribosomal RNA (400 nucleotides) under uncultured Colwellia sp. Its description in RNAcentral is "bacterial SSU rRNA". It matches the Rfam family "Bacterial small subunit ribosomal RNA", at positions 498 to 897 of the family's 1533-position model. The record is from RNAcentral. Lineage: Bacteria; Pseudomonadati; Pseudomonadota; Gammaproteobacteria; Alteromonadales; Colwelliaceae.